ACUGAACCUUAUCAUUUAGAGGAAGGAGAAGUCGUAACAAGGUUUCCGUAAGUGAAUUUGUGGAAGGAUCAUUAUCGAUGCCACACAAAAAGAGUGACCCACGAACCGGUUGGAAUGAACCUCAAGUGGGGGAAGGCAAUGGCGCGCCCGAGGGCACUCCCGGCAACCAAAUCCCGGACCUCAAGCGCCAAGAAACUGAAACAGAGAAAGGCGAUCUUGCUGGCGGCCCAGGAACGGCGCCGAUCACCCAGCGUCACAUCUCAUGCCAUUUGCAUCCGAAACGAAUCUCGGCAACGGAUAUCUCAGCUCUGGAAUCGAUAAAGAACGUAGCGAAAUGUGAUACUUGGUAUGAAUUGCAGAAUCCUGUGAACCAUCGAGUCUUUGAACGCAAGUUACACUCGAUGUCGUUAGGCUGAAAGCACGUCUGCUUCAAUGUCAUGUAACGUCGCCAACACCCAGUCCUCUGGGAAAGUGUCGCUGAUGAUGGCCUCCUGGGAGCCUCGCCUCCCAGUUGGCCGAAAGAGGGGCCUAACAUGACGACUACCAUGAUCCACGGUGGUUGAGUGAGCAUUCACUCUAGGCCAAGACGUACGUGUGUCGUCCUAUGGUAAGGGCCCGUCGGCUAGGGCAUGCGACAACAAAGCCCUCCACCCGUACGCACGUGGCCCUAA
RNAcentral lists this unclassified non-coding RNA (671 nucleotides) under Archidendron sp. NG176. RNAcentral's name for it is "partial contains small subunit ribosomal RNA, internal transcribed spacer 1, 5.8S ribosomal RNA, internal transcribed spacer 2, and large subunit ribosomal RNA". The stretch from base 283 to 438 matches the Rfam family "5.8S ribosomal RNA". The record is from RNAcentral. Lineage: Eukaryota; Viridiplantae; Streptophyta; Magnoliopsida; Fabales; Fabaceae.